Molecule: long non-coding RNA, 620 nt
Organism: Sapajus apella (tufted capuchin)
Lineage: Eukaryota; Metazoa; Chordata; Mammalia; Primates; Cebidae
Exons: 2
Source: RefSeq, a predicted model, not a curated record
AGUGCAGCCUGAGUCAACCAUUGUCUCCACUGCAGGCUUAGAGCCAUGUCCUUAGCGCCCCCUCUAGGCUGCAUGCAGAGUGCCAACAAUCAGCCCUCCAUUCCUUGAGUAGAGUGAAUUUAUUUGCUCUUAUUUCCAGAGGCAAUCUCAUAUCUUUCAAAGACUCUAAGGGGAAAGGCCAGAGAGGCGAUUCUCCUGCUUGAGCCUCAAGGGGUUUGGUGCAUAUAUCCUCCUGCGCACAAAAGGGAGUCCUGGGAUCUUUAUUUUCUGUCUCAGUGGUUUUUUCCAUCUGCUGUGAGAUACAGCCAGGACAUCUGAAGUGAGGCCAAAUCCAGCUAGUUUGGCUGAUUUUAAGCAGGGUAUCUCAGCGCUGGCAAACAGAAGGGUAAUGGGAAUUAGAAGGAGGGGAAAAACAGCAAUAAAAAUAUAAAUCAAAGAAAGAAGGAAAUCCAUUUGCUCCUUGGCAGCAGAGACAGUGCUCAACUAAUCCAUGCUGAGUGCAAUCCAAUACUCCUUUAUAUAAUCCUGUGCCGGUGGAAGAAAAUUAAAGUUUAAUGCAAUAACGGCUGACACAAAUCACUUUUGUUGCCCAGAAGCAGAUUAAAGAAUAGUUAAAAUCA